GGACUACCAGGGUAUCUAAUCCCAUUUGCUCCCCUGGCUUUCGUUCCUCAGCGUCAGUUACGGCCCAGUAAGUCGCCUACGCCACCGGUGUUCUUCCUGAUAUCUACGCAUUUCACCGCUACACCAGGAAUUCCACUUACCUCUACCGCACUCCAGUCUGCCAGUAUCCAAUGCACUCCCGGAGUUGAGCCCCGAUCUUUAACAUCAGACUUGACAAACCGCCUACGAACUCUUUACGCCCAAUAAAUCCGGACAACGCUCGCAUCCUACGUCUUACCGCGGCGGCUGGCAC
Molecule: ribosomal RNA, 292 nt
Filed under: uncultured bacterium
Lineage: Bacteria
Description: partial 16S ribosomal RNA
Source: RNAcentral